RNAcentral lists this ribosomal RNA (484 nucleotides) under uncultured bacterium. Its description in RNAcentral is "partial 16S ribosomal RNA". It matches the Rfam family "Bacterial small subunit ribosomal RNA", at positions 30 to 507 of the family's 1533-position model. The record is from RNAcentral.
AUUGAACGCUGGCGGCAGGCCUAACACAUGCAAGUCGAGCGGAUGAAGGGAGCUUGCUCCUGGAUUCAGCGGCGGACGGGUGAGUAAUGCCUAGGAAUCUGCCUGGUAGUGGGGGAUAACGUCCGGAAACGGGCGCUAAUACCGCAUACGACCUGAGGGAGAAAGUGGGGGAUCUUCGGACCUCACGCUAUCAGAUGAGCCUAGGUCGGAUUAGCUAGUUGGUGGGGUAAAGGCCUACCAAGGCGACGAUCCGUAACUGGUCUGAGAGGAUGAUCAGUCACACUAGAACUGAGACACGGUCCAGGCUCCUGCGGGAGGCAGCAGUGGGGAAUAUUGGACAGUGGGCGAAAGCCUGAUCCAGCCAUGCCGCGUGUGUGAAGAAGGUCUUCGGAUUGUAAAGCACGUUAAGUUGUGAGGAAGGGCAGUAAGUUAAUACCUUGCUGUUUUGACGGUACCAACAGAAUAAGCACCGGCUAACUUCGUG